This 486-nucleotide ribosomal RNA is filed under the name uncultured bacterium. Its description in RNAcentral is "partial 16S ribosomal RNA". It matches the Rfam family "Bacterial small subunit ribosomal RNA", at positions 28 to 507 of the family's 1533-position model. The record is from RNAcentral.
GAUGAACGCUGGCGGCGUGCCUAAUACAUGCAAGUCGAACGCUGGAAAUUUAGCUUGCUAGAUUGAAGGAGUGGCGAACGGGUGAGUAAUACAUAAGCAACCUACCCACGAAGACUGGGAUAAUCUCUGGAAACGGGGACUAAUACCGGAUAGGUAAUCGGAAGGCAUCUUCUGAUUAUUAAAGGUUAAAAACACUGGUGGAUGGGCUUAUGGCGCAUUAGUUAGUUGGUGAGGUAACGGCCCACCAAGACGAUGAUGCGUAGCCGGCCUGAGAGGGUGAACGGCCACAUUGGGACUGAGACACGGCCCAGACUCCUACGGGAGGCAGCAGUAGGGAAUUUUCGGCAAUGGGGGAAACCCUGACCGAGCAACGCCGCGUGAGUGAUGACGGCCUUCGGGUUGUAAAGCUCUGUUGUAAGGGAAGAACGGUAGAUAGAGAAUAUCUAAAUGACGGUACCUUACCAGAAAGCCACGGCUAACUACGUG